UAAUGUCUGGGAAACGUGCCUGAUGAGGGGGAGUAAUACUGGAAACGGUGGCUAAUACCGCAUAAUGUCUACGGACCAAAGCAGGGGCUCUUCGGACCUUGCACUAUCGGAUGAACCCAUAUGGGAUUAGCUAGUAGGUGGGGUAAAGGCUCACCUAGGCGACGAUCUCUAGCUGGUCUGAGAGGAUGAUCAGCCACACUGGGACUGAGACACGGCCCAG
Molecule: ribosomal RNA, 220 nt
Filed under: uncultured bacterium
Lineage: Bacteria
Description: partial 16S ribosomal RNA
Rfam family: Bacterial small subunit ribosomal RNA
Source: RNAcentral